GCGGGCAUAGUUUAGUGGUAAAACCUUAGCCUUCCAAGCUAAUGAUCGCGGUUCGAUUCCGCGUGCCCGCU
This 71-nucleotide transfer RNA is filed under the name Vacuolonema iberomarrocanum LEGE 07170. Its description in RNAcentral is "filamentous cyanobacterium LEGE 07170 tRNA". It matches the Rfam family "tRNA". From Rfam's summary of the family: Transfer RNA (tRNA) molecules are approximately 80 nucleotides in length. Their secondary structure includes four short double-helical elements and three loops (D, anti-codon, and T loops). Further hydrogen bonds mediate the characteristic L-shaped molecular structure. tRNAs have two regions of fundamental functional importance: the anti-codon, which is responsible for specific mRNA codon recognition, and the 3' end, to which the tRNAs corresponding amino acid is attached (by aminoacyl-tRNA synthetases). tRNAs cope with the degeneracy of the genetic code in two manners: having more than one tRNA (with a specific anti-codon) for a particular amino acid; and 'wobble' base-pairing, i.e. permitting non-standard base-pairing at the 3rd anti-codon position. The record is from Rfam by way of RNAcentral. Lineage: Bacteria; Bacillati; Cyanobacteriota; Cyanophyceae; Oculatellales; Oculatellaceae. RNAcentral also lists the same sequence under 12 other names.